UGCCCAGACUCCUACGGGGGGCAGCAGUGGGGAAUAUUGCACAAUGGGGGAAACCCUGAUGCAGCGACGCCGCGUGAGUGAAGAAGUAUCUCGGUACGUAAAGCUCUAUCAGCAGGGAAGAUAAUGACGGUACCUGACCAAGAAGCCCCGGCUAACUACGUGCCAGCAGCCGCGGUAAUACGUAGGGGGCAAGCGUUAUCCGGAUUUACUGGGUGUAAAGGGAGCGUAGACGGUGCGCCAAGUCUGGAGUGAAAUGCCGCAGCUUAACUGCGGAACUGCUUUGGAAACUGGCGAACUAGAGUGCGGGAGGGGUAAGCGGAAUUCCUAGUGUAGCGGUGAAAUGCGUAGAUAUCGCGCAGAACCCCGAUUGCGAAGGCAGCGUACCGGCUCCACACUGACGCUGAGGCACGAAAGCGUGGGUAUCGAACAGGAUUAGAUACCCGAGUA
Molecule: ribosomal RNA, 447 nt
Filed under: uncultured bacterium
Lineage: Bacteria
Description: bacterial SSU rRNA
Rfam family: Bacterial small subunit ribosomal RNA
Source: RNAcentral